GCUGCUGUAGCUCAGUUGGUAGAGCACGUCCUUGGUAAGGACGGGGUCAUCGGUUCAAACCCGAUCAGCAGCUCCA
This 76-nucleotide transfer RNA is filed under the name Spirochaetales bacterium. Its description in RNAcentral is "tRNA-Thr". It matches the Rfam family "tRNA". Rfam says of the family: Transfer RNA (tRNA) molecules are approximately 80 nucleotides in length. Their secondary structure includes four short double-helical elements and three loops (D, anti-codon, and T loops). Further hydrogen bonds mediate the characteristic L-shaped molecular structure. tRNAs have two regions of fundamental functional importance: the anti-codon, which is responsible for specific mRNA codon recognition, and the 3' end, to which the tRNAs corresponding amino acid is attached (by aminoacyl-tRNA synthetases). tRNAs cope with the degeneracy of the genetic code in two manners: having more than one tRNA (with a specific anti-codon) for a particular amino acid; and 'wobble' base-pairing, i.e. permitting non-standard base-pairing at the 3rd anti-codon position. RNAcentral also lists the same sequence under 1 other name. Lineage: Bacteria; Pseudomonadati; Spirochaetota; Spirochaetia; Spirochaetales. The record is from RNAcentral.